Molecule: long non-coding RNA, 424 nt
Organism: Amblyraja radiata (thorny skate)
Lineage: Eukaryota; Metazoa; Chordata; Chondrichthyes; Rajiformes; Rajidae
Exons: 3
Source: RefSeq, a predicted model, not a curated record
GACAUUAUCUACAUGUAGGACAUGGUCUCAUGGUAGGACAUUAUAUCAUGUUAGGACAUUAUCAUGGUGGGACACAGUCUACAUUGCAGGACUGACUACAUGUUAGGACAUUGACUGCAUGCUUGGACAUUGUCUACCAUGUCCUCCCGACCCCUGCCCUACCCUACCUGGUGGAGGUAGGAAGUACAGCAUGGACAAUCUUCCCCCUUACGGCACUUAACAUCCACAUGCAGUUACUUCCCGAUAAGUCCACAGACAGUGAUCAGCAAUGAAUGAGAGCUUUCCCAUCAUGGUUUGGCGCGGGCUGAUGGGGGCACGUCUGCCUAGAAAACAGACCAAAUAUCAACCCUGGGGCAUUUCUCUCUCUUCAACGGAGCAGUUUCAUACCAGGCUGAGCUUUAACUGUGGGUACACAAAAUGCUGG